UACGAGGGGUGCUAGCGUUAUUCGGAAUCAUUGGGCGUAAAGGGUAUGUAGGCGGUUUAUUAAGUCUGUUGUUAAAUUUCUCAGCCUAACUGGGAGUCGGCGAUAGAAACUGGUUUACUAGAGUGUGGGAGAGAGAGGUGGAAUUCUCGGAGUAGCGGUAAAAUGCGUAGAUCUCGAGAGGAACACCGAUGGCGAAGGCAGCCUCUUGGCCCACUACUGACGCUGAGAUACGAAAGCGUGGGGAGCAAACAGG
Molecule: ribosomal RNA, 253 nt
Filed under: uncultured bacterium
Lineage: Bacteria
Description: partial 16S ribosomal RNA
Rfam family: Bacterial small subunit ribosomal RNA
Source: RNAcentral